This 465-nucleotide ribosomal RNA is filed under the name uncultured bacterium. Its description in RNAcentral is "partial 16S ribosomal RNA". It matches the Rfam family "Bacterial small subunit ribosomal RNA", at positions 28 to 507 of the family's 1533-position model. The record is from RNAcentral.
GACGAACGCUGGCGGCGUGCUUAACACAUGCAAGUCGAACGGAAAGGCCCUGCUUGCAGGGUACUCGAGUGGCGAACGGGUGAGUAACACGUGGGUGAUCUGCCCUGCACUUCGGGAUAAGCCUGGGAAACUGGGUCCAAUACCGGAUAGGAGCCAUUUUUAGUGUGAUGGUUGGAAAGUUUUUUCGGUGUAGGAUGAGCUCGCGGCCUAUCAGCUUGUUGGUGGGGUAAUGGCCUACCAAGGCGACGACGGGUAGCCGGACUGAGAGGGUGGACGGCCACAUUGGGACUGAGAGACGGCACAGACGCCGACGGGUGGCAGCAGGGGGGAAGAUUGCACAAUGGGCGCAAGCCUGAUGCAGAGGCGCCGCGUGGGGGAUGACGGCCUUCGUGUUGUAGACUCCUUUCGCUAGGGACGAAGCUUUUUGUGACGGUACCUAGAGAAGAAGCACCGGCUAACUACGUG